CCUACGGGAGGCAGCAGUGGGGGAUAUUGCACAAUGGGCGAAAGCCUGAUGCAGCGACGCCGCGUGAGGGAAGACGGUCUUCGGAUUGUAAACCUCUGUCUUUGGGGAAGUAAAUGACGGUACCCAAAGAUUAAGCUCCGGCUAACUACGUGCCAGCAGCCGCGGUAAUACGUAGGUAGCAAGCGUUGUCCGGAAUUACUGGGUGUAAAGGGAGCGUAGGCGGGUUGGGAAGUAGAAGGUUAAAUCCGUCGGCUCAACCGGAGGCUGCGUUCUAGACCGGCGUUCUUGAGUGCAGUAGAGGCAGGCGGAAUUCGUGGUGUAGCGGUGAAAUGCGUAGAUAUUAGGAGGAACACCAGUGGCGAAGGCGGCGUGCUGGGCUUUAACUGACGCUGAGGCUCGAAAGCGUGGGGAGCAAACAGGAUUAGAUACCCGAGUAGUC
Molecule: ribosomal RNA, 439 nt
Filed under: uncultured bacterium
Lineage: Bacteria
Description: partial 16S ribosomal RNA
Rfam family: Bacterial small subunit ribosomal RNA
Source: RNAcentral